Molecule: ribosomal RNA, 1459 nt
Filed under: metagenome
Description: bacterial LSU rRNA
Rfam family: Bacterial large subunit ribosomal RNA
Source: RNAcentral
AAAGCGUUUGAGAGAUGGAGUGACACAGUAGGAUAAGCUAACCGUACUGUUGGUUAUGUACGGCUAAGCAUUGAGGCAGUCUAAAUAGGCAAAUCCGUUUAGACAAUGCUAGGAUGUGAUGGGGAAGCCCUUCGGGGCGAAGUAGCUGAUUUCACACUGUCAAGAAAAGCUUCUAUCGAGUUUAAAGGCGCCCGUACCGUAAACCGACACAGGUGGGUGAGGAGAGUAUCCUAAGGCCAGCGAGAGAACUAUUGUUAAGGAACUCGGCAAAAUGACCCCGUAACUUAGGGAGAAGGGGUGCCUGUCUAUGACAGGCCGCAGAGAAUAGGCCCAAGCGACUGUUUACCAAAAACACAGGUUUCUGCUAAGUCGCAAGACGAUGUAUAGGAGCUGACGCCUGCCCGGUGCUGGAAGGUUAAGGGGAUCUGUUAGAGCAAUCGAAGCAGUGAACUUAAGCCCCAGUAAACGGCGGCCGUAACAAUAACGGUCCUAAGGUAGCGAAAUUCCUUGUCGGGUAAGUUCCGACCCGCACGAAAGGCGUAACGAUUUGGGCACUGUCUCAACAAUAGACUCGGUGAAAUUGUAAUCCCGGUGAAGAUGCCGGGUACCUGCGACAGGACGGAAAGACCCCAUGGAGCUUUACUGUAGCUUGACGUUGGGUCUUGGUACUACAUGUACAGGAUAGGUGGGAGACUAUGAAGCAUGGACGCCAGUCUGUGUGGAGUCAUCCUUGGGAUACCACCCUUGUAGUACUGGGAUCCUAACCAUAGGCCUUGAAUCAGGUCUUGGAACACCGUCAGGUGGGCAGUUUGACUGGGGCGGUCGCCUCCUAAAAAGUAACGGAGGCGCUCAAAGGUUUCCUCAGCACGGUCGGAAAUCGUGCGAAGAGUGUAAAGGCAAAAGGAAGCUUGAUUGCAAGACAUACAGGUCGAGCAAGGACGAAAGUCGGACUUAGUGAUCCGGUGGUACCGCAUGGAAGGGCCAUCGCUCAACGGAUAAAAGCUACCCUGGGGAUAACAGGCUUAUCUCCCCCAAGAGUCCACAUCGACGGGGAGGUUUGGCACCUCGAUGUCGGCUCAUCACAUCCUGGGGCUGUAGUAGGUCCCAAGGGUUGGGCUGUUCGCCCAUUAAAGUGGUACGCGAGCUGGGUUCAGAACGUCGUGAGACAGUUCGGUCCCUAUCCGUUGCAGGCGUAGGAAAUUUGAGAAGACCUGUCCUUAGUACGAGAGGACCGGGAUGGACGUACCUCUGGUGUACCAGUUGUUCUGCCAAGGGCAUGGCUGGGUAGCUAUGUACGGAAUGGAUAAGCGCUGAAAGCAUCUAAGCGCGAAGCCAACUUCAAGAUAAGAUUUCCCACCGUAAGGGUAAGACCCCAGGAAGACUACCUGGUUGAUAGGUCGAAGGUGUAAGUGCAGUAAUGUAUUUAGCUUAUCGAUACUAACAGGUCGAGGACUUGACC